RNAcentral lists this ribosomal RNA (518 nucleotides) under uncultured marine bacterium. Its description in RNAcentral is "bacterial SSU rRNA". It matches the Rfam family "Bacterial small subunit ribosomal RNA", at positions 30 to 526 of the family's 1533-position model. The record is from RNAcentral.
UUGAACGCUGGCGGCAGGCCUAACACAUGCAAGUCGAGCGGAAACGACAUUAUUGAAUCUUCGGAGGAUUUAAUGGGCGUCGAGCGGCGGACGGGUGAGUAAUGCCUAGGAAAUUGCCUUGAUGUGGGGGAUAACCAUUGGAAACGAUGGCUAAUACCGCAUAAUGCCUACGGGCCAAAGAGGGGGACCUUCGGGCCUCUCGCGUCAAGAUAUGCCUAGGUGGGAUUAGCUAGUUGGUGAGGUAAUGGCUCACCAAGGCGACGAUCCCUAGCUGGUCUGAGAGGAUGAUCAGCCACACUGGAACUGAGACACGGUCCAGACUCCUACGGGAGGCAGCAGUGGGGAAUAUUGCACAAUGGGCGAAAGCCUGAUGCAGCCAUGCCGCGUGUAUGAAGAAGGCCUUCGGGUUGUAAAGUACUUUCAGUUGUGAGGAAGGGUGUGUAGUUAAUAGCUGCGCAUCUUGACGUUAGCAACAGAAGAAGCACCGGCUAACUCCGUGCCAGCAGCCGCGGUAAUAC